RNAcentral lists this ribosomal RNA (24 nucleotides) under Gongronella lacrispora. RNAcentral's name for it is "partial 18S ribosomal RNA". The record is from RNAcentral. Lineage: Eukaryota; Fungi; Mucoromycota; Mucoromycetes; Mucorales; Cunninghamellaceae.
GGACUGAGAAGGAUCAUUAUCAUG